Molecule: ribosomal RNA, 253 nt
Filed under: uncultured bacterium
Lineage: Bacteria
Description: partial 16S ribosomal RNA
Rfam family: Bacterial small subunit ribosomal RNA
Source: RNAcentral
UACGGAGGGGGCUAGCGUUGUUCGGAAUUACUGGGCGUAAAGGGCGCGUAGGCGGCACGGCAAGUCGGGAGUGAAAGCCCGGGGCUCAACCCCGGAACGUCUUUCGAAACUGCCGAGCUAGAGUGCGGAAGGGGCAACUGGAAUUCCCAGUGUAGCGGUGAAAUGCGUAGAUAUUGGGAAGAACACCUGAGGCGAAGGCGGGUUGCUGGGCCGACACUGACGCUGAGGCGCGAAAGCCAGGGGAGCGAACGGG